GGGAACUUCGGGCCAGUGGCGGGCGGAUUACGAGGUGGGCGGGCGGUGGUCGCAAACACUGGUCGGAAAGCCAACUGAGGCGGAGUGGUAAGGCUGGGGUUAAAGCCUGGUGCUCCACCUCAGAACGGCCUGCUAGACGGGCAAGCUCUAGGCCGGAAGAGGUGGGUGGAACAGCUGGUGUAGAGGGUAAAUUCGUAGAUAUUAGCUAGAACACCAGUGGCGAAGGCGUGCAACUGGUCCGGUACUGACGCUGAGGUGCGAAAGCGUGGGGAGCAAACAGGAUUAGAUACCCGAGUAUUC
Molecule: ribosomal RNA, 300 nt
Filed under: uncultured Bacillus sp.
Lineage: Bacteria; Bacillati; Bacillota; Bacilli; Caryophanales; Bacillaceae
Description: bacterial SSU rRNA
Rfam family: Bacterial small subunit ribosomal RNA
Source: RNAcentral